This 84-nucleotide transfer RNA is filed under the name Neonotonia wightii. RNAcentral's name for it is "tRNA-Tyr". The record is from RNAcentral. Lineage: Eukaryota; Viridiplantae; Streptophyta; Magnoliopsida; Fabales; Fabaceae.
CCAGAUUGAUUCUCGUUUUUUAUUUCCCGGCUUAGUAUUAGAUAUAAAUAUACCUAUCGAAUCUUAGUUUAGUAAUAAAGGACA